UGAACGCUAGCGACAGGCUUAACACAUGCAAGUCGAGGGGCAGCGGGGGUAGCGAUACCCGCCGGCGACCGGCGCACGGGUGAGUAACGCGUAUGCAACUUGCCUAUCAGAGGGGGAUAACCCGGCGAAAGUCGGACUAAUACCGCAUGAAGCAGGGGCCCCGCAUGGGGGUAUUUGCUAAAGAUUCAUCGCUGAUAGAUAGGCAUGCGUUCCAUUAGGCAGUUGGCGGGGUAACGGCCCACCAAACCGACGAUGGAUAGGGGUUCUGAGAGGAAGGUCCCCCACAUUGGUACUGAGACACGGACCAAACUCCUACGGGAGGCAGCAGUGAGGAAUAUUGGUCAAUGGCCGAGAGGCUGAACCAGCCAAGUCGCGUGAGGGAUGAAGGUUCUAUGGAUCGUAAACCUCUUUUAUAAGGGAAUAAAGUGCGGGACGUGUCCCGUUUUGUAUGUACCUUAUGAAUAAGGAUCGGCUAACUCCGUGCCAGCAGCCGCGGUAAUACGGAGGAUCCGAGCGUUAUCCGGAUUUAUUGGGUUUAAAGGGUGCGUAGGCGGCCUUUUAAGUCAGCGGUGAAAGUCUGUGGCUCAACCAUAGAAUUGCCGUUGAAACUGGGGGGCUUGAGUAUGUUUGAGGCAGGCGGAAUGCGUGGUGUAGCGGUGAAAUGCUUAGAUAUCACGCAGAACCCCGAUUGCGAAGGCAGCCUGCCAAGCCAUGACUGACGCUGAUGCACGAAAGCGUGGGGAUCAAACAGGAUUAGAUACCCUGGUAGUCCACGCAGUAAACGAUGAUCACUAGCUGUUUGCGAUACAUUGUAAGCGGCACAGCGAAAGCGUUAAGUGAUCCACCUGGGGAGUACGCCGGCAACGGUGAAACUCAAAGGAAUUGACGGGGGCCCGCACAAGCGGAGGAACAUGUGGUUUAAUUCGAUGAUACGCGAGGAACCUUACCCGGGUUUGAACGCAUUCGGACCGAGGUGGAAACACCUUUUCUAGCAAUAGCCGUUUGCGAGGUGCUGCAUGGUUGUCGUCAGCUCGUGCCGUGAGGUGUCGGCUUAAGUGCCAUAACGAGCGCAACCCUUGCCACUAGUUACUAACAGGUAAAGCUGAGGACUCUGGUGGGACUGCCAGCGUAAGCUGCGAGGAAGGCGGGGAUGACGUCAAAUCAGCACGGCCCUUACAUCCGGGGCGACACACGUGUUACAAUGGCGUGGACAAAGGGAAGCCACCUGGCGACAGGGAGCGAAUCCCCAAACCACGUCUCAGUUCGGAUCGGAGUCUGCAACCCGACUCCGUGAAGCUGGAUUCGCUAGUAAUCGCGCAUCAGCCAUGGCGCGGUGAAUACGUUCCCGGGCCUUGUACACACCGCCCGUCAAGCCAUGGGAGUCGGGGGUACCUGAAGUCCGUAACCGAAAGGAUCGGCCUAGGGUAAAACUGGUGACUGGGGC
RNAcentral lists this ribosomal RNA (1444 nucleotides) under uncultured organism. Its description in RNAcentral is "SSU rRNA". It matches the Rfam family "Bacterial small subunit ribosomal RNA". The record is from RNAcentral.